This 19-nucleotide microRNA is filed under the name Mus musculus (house mouse). Its description in RNAcentral is "mmu-miR-6481". Lineage: Eukaryota; Metazoa; Chordata; Mammalia; Rodentia; Muridae. The record is from miRBase by way of RNAcentral.
CACUGAAAAUGCUUAGAUG